RNAcentral lists this ribosomal RNA (392 nucleotides) under uncultured bacterium. RNAcentral describes it as "bacterial SSU rRNA". It matches the Rfam family "Bacterial small subunit ribosomal RNA", at positions 28 to 407 of the family's 1533-position model. The record is from RNAcentral.
GACGAACGCUGGCGGCGUGCCUAAUACAUGCAAGUCGAGCGAACCAAUAAGAAGCUUGCUUUUUUGUUGGUUAGCGGCGGACGGGUGAGUAACACGUGGGUAACCUGCCUGUAAGACCGGGAUAACUCCGGGAAACCGGUGCUAAUACCGGAUAGAUUAUCUUUCCGCCUGGAGAGAUAAGGAAAGAUGGCUAUUGCCAUCACUUACAGAUGGGCCCGCGGCGCAUUAGCUAGUUGGUGAGGUAACGGCUCACCAAGGCGACGAUGCGUAGCCGACCUGAGAGGGUGAUCGGCCACACUGGGACUGAGACACGGCCCAGACUCCUACGGGAGGCAGCAGUAGGGAAUCUUCCGCAAUGGACGAAAGUCUGACGGAGCAACGCCGCGUGAGCG